GACGAACGCUGGCGGCGUGCUUAACACAUGCAAGUCGAACGGAAAGGCUCCAGCUUGCUGGAGUACUCGAGUGGCGAACGGGUGAGUAACACGUGGGUGAUCUGCCCUGCACUUCGGGAUAUGCCUGGGAAACUGGGUCUAAUACCGGAUAGGACCGCACUUUGGUGUGUGUGGUGGAAAGGUUUUUCUGGUGUGGGAUGAGCUCGCGGCCUAACAGUUUGUUGGUGGGGUAAUGGCCUACCAAGACGGCGACGGGUAGCCGGCCUGAGAGGGUGGACGGUCGCAUUGGGACUGAGGUACGGCCCAGACUCCUACUGGAGGCAGCAGGGGGGAAUAUUGCACAAUGGGGGAAGCCCUGAUGCAGCGACGCCGCGUGGGGGAUGAAGGCCUUCGGGUUGUAAACUCCUUUCGCUAGGGACGAAGCUUUUUGUGACGGUACCUGGAGAAGAAGCACCGGCUAACUACGUG
RNAcentral lists this ribosomal RNA (468 nucleotides) under uncultured bacterium. Its description in RNAcentral is "partial 16S ribosomal RNA". It matches the Rfam family "Bacterial small subunit ribosomal RNA", at positions 28 to 507 of the family's 1533-position model. The record is from RNAcentral.